UUAGCAGACUAAGAGAGAAUUAUUGAACAUUAUAAUGAUUAAUUAAAUGUUUAAAUAAUGCUCAUUUCCAAAAUUGCAUUUAUUAUUGGACUCCACAUGAGUAGCUUUGCAUGAUUCACAGUUCAAAAUAAUCCUGAUUUACCUUACACUGGCCUUUGUGGCAGCACCUCUGUUCAUUCCCUGAAUUCUGUGACACUGAAACAAAGGAUGCAAGUCUAGCGUCUAGUCCAUGUAGAGAAACCAACAUUUUUAACACUUUUACCCAACUUUACAUCUCUCAACCUUAUAAAAAAAAAGGCUUCGGUGGCAGAUUAAUCCCAAUCUCUACGUUUAUAUAAAAACAUGAGCUGUGCAUUAUAACUGAACCAAGAAAUGCAAUAAAAGAAUCAAAAGUAAUCAAGAAUUUCAUUUGAAAUUAUUCUGUAACUGAAUCUGUAUAACUGUGCGAGGUUUGUACAAAAUACUCAGAAAAAUCAUUCUUGUUUGAUUCCAGCUGCUGUUGAGACCAAGACAGAUAGAAGCUGCUGUUGAUGAAUCUCUGAUCCUACUUUUACAUAAUGAACUCUGCUGCCACAAGGCACAUUUGUCAGUUUUUGAAAUGCAGAGUAUGUUUCUGAUAUCAUGAUGGAUUGGAGCAUAUAAAGAGGUUUCAGCAGCUGACGUUGGACAGCUUAGUGACUUGAGUGUCAGUGGUUUUGUGGGUGUCAGUUCAGUGUGGGUACAGAACCAAAAGCUCUUCCGAAAAUACUUUCAGAUGGGAUUUUUUUUUUUUUUUUGACAAAGACGUGCAGCUGCCUUUGUCAUCUGGGCAUAUGUGCACUCAUGCAGAUGGGCAAGGCCGCCCCCACAUAUUACAUACACACACUUCUCCCAUUACUUGUCUGUUGUCUUUCCACAGCUCAUGUUCACCAGAUGCAGGAGAAAACAGAUGAGAGAGAGUAACAGAUAAAGUAAAAUAGGAGUAAGGCACGGCAGGGAGGGGAUGGAGAGCGCGGAGAAGAAACAGAUGUGUGUGCGUCUGAUGAUUCAAACCUGCAAGGUGAAGAAAAUAAGUAGGGAGGUGAAAGGGGACUAUCAGUCGGCGAUGAGGAGAAAGGAGUACAUGGGGAUCUGCCCAGCCCGGGAGCUGCCGCCAGUCCCCACUGAGGCCUUCCCCAAACCGCAGUCUCAAUCCAUGCUCAAGCCAUCUGCCAUUAUCUACUAGAAAUGCUGUCAAACCAAAAAUGAGGAUGUGGUCCCAGCUAGUGAAAGAAGAUGUUAUAGCCAAUAAAAAUUAGCAGAUCCUUGGAGCUCAAAUCCUGCUGCUUCAACACUGUCUGCUGGUGACAGCCACACAGCUCAUAAAGGCUCCCAUAAACGCCAAAAAUAUCACCUUGCUAAUUUAGUAAGUGGAAUGGCUCAUCCAAUAAUGCAUACAGUAAAGGUUUGCUUGGUUAGCAUAACCUAUACAUGUGUUAUUUUUACUUAGUUUUUUACAGCUGCAACAAUUAGAUGUCUUUGUUUCUUUUUUUUUCAAUACAUUAAUGUUCCAAUACAAGAAGUUGAAAUGAUAAGAAACCAAGUUUUGUUUUCUGAAAAUGUGAGCAUGUUGACAAAUGCUAUGACCACCUUCCCCAUAGUAAUAGAGGGAAACCUGAGUGUUAGACUAGGGCCUAAAGCACAAUUAAGAAGUGAACUGGCACCCCCUGCUGGCCACCUGAUCAGAGCCGUACCAGCAAGACACCUGUUUAAAGGUGAUAAACAACAUUAUUAUUUUUUCUAAUAAAAUAUUUGAUUUACAGAUAUAAAAGUAACAAAAGCAUGUUCCAUGUCAAGUUGUUCCUACUCCUUAUAAAUCUGACCUGGCAGAAAUGCUGGGUUCAUGGCUGACUGUAAAUUAUUAGUUAAAUGGCAUAACUGAUUGAUUACUGCAGUUAUUGUCAGCAUCUGGACAUUUAUU
This is a long non-coding RNA of Astatotilapia calliptera (eastern happy), 1939 nucleotides long. NCBI's taxonomy places the organism in Eukaryota, Metazoa, Chordata, Actinopteri, Cichliformes, Cichlidae. The record is from Ensembl.